CGAUGGCGACCGGCGCACGGUGAGUAACGCGUAUGCAACCUGCCCGAUACCGGGGUAUAGCCCAUGGAAACGUGGAUUAACACCCCAUAGUACUUUUAUCCUGCCUGGGAUGGGAGUUAAAUGUUCAAGGUAUCGGAUGGGCAUGCGUCCUAUUAGUUAGUUGGCGGGGUAACAGCCCACCAAGACGAUGAUAGGUAGGGGUUCUGAGAGGAAGGUCCCCCACAUUGGAACUGAGACACGGUCCAA
This 246-nucleotide ribosomal RNA is filed under the name uncultured bacterium. Its description in RNAcentral is "partial 16S ribosomal RNA". It matches the Rfam family "Bacterial small subunit ribosomal RNA", at positions 86 to 334 of the family's 1533-position model. The record is from RNAcentral.